This 200-nucleotide ribosomal RNA is filed under the name uncultured bacterium. Its description in RNAcentral is "partial 16S ribosomal RNA". It matches the Rfam family "Bacterial small subunit ribosomal RNA", at positions 32 to 224 of the family's 1533-position model. The record is from RNAcentral.
AAUCAAUGCCGGCGGCGUGCCUCAGACAUGCAAGUCGAACGAUUAAACUUUCCUUCGGGAAAGAUAUAAAGUGGCGCACGGGUGAGUAACACGUAAGUAAUCUACCCUCGGGUGGGGAAUAACAUCGGGAAACCGAUGCUAAUACCGCAUAAUGCAGCGGCACCGCAAGGUGACAGUUGUUAAAGAUUUAUUGCCGUGGG